This 1602-nucleotide ribosomal RNA is filed under the name Salmonella enterica. RNAcentral describes it as "partial 23S ribosomal RNA". It matches the Rfam family "Bacterial large subunit ribosomal RNA", at positions 1348 to 2925 of the family's 2925-position model. The record is from RNAcentral. Lineage: Bacteria; Pseudomonadati; Pseudomonadota; Gammaproteobacteria; Enterobacterales; Enterobacteriaceae.
AGGGUUCCUGUCCAACGUUAAUCGGGGCAGGGUGAGUCGACCCCUAAGGCGAGGCCGAAAGGCGUAGUCGAUGGGAAACGGGUUAAUAUUCCCGUACUUGGUGUUACUGCGAAGGGGGGACGGAGAAGGCUAUGUUGGCCGGGCGACGGUUGUCCCGGUUUAAGCGUGUAGGUGUGUGUUCCAGGUAAAUCCGGUUCACUUUAACACUGAGGCGUGAUGACGAGGCACUACGGUGCUGAAGCAACAAAUGCCCUGCUUCCAGGAAAAGCCUCUAAGCAUCAGGUAACAUCAAAUCGUACCCCAAACCGACACAGGUGGUCAGGUAGAGAAUACCAAGGCGCUUGAGAGAACUCGGGUGAAGGAACUAGGCAAAAUGGUGCCGUAACUUCGGGAGAAGGCACGCUGACACGUAGGUGAAGUGAUUUACUCAUGGAGCUGAAGUCAGUCGAAGAUACCAGCUGGCUGCAACUGUUUAUUAAAAACACAGCACUGUGCAAACACGAAAGUGGACGUAUACGGUGUGACGCCUGCCCGGUGCCGGAAGGUUAAUUGAUGGGGUCAGCGCAAGCGAAGCUCCUGAUCGAAGCCCCGGUAAACGGCGGCCGUAACUAUAACGGUCCUAAGGUAGCGAAAUUCCUUGUCGGGUAAGUUCCGACCUGCACGAAUGGCGUAAUGAUGGCCAGGCUGUCUCCACCCGAGACUCAGUGAAAUUGAACUCGCUGUGAAGAUGCAGUGUACCCGCGGCAAGACGGAAAGACCCCGUGAACCUUUACUAUAGCUUGACACUGAACAUUGAGCCUUGAUGUGUAGGAUAGGUGGGAGGCUUUGAAGUGUGGACGCCAGUCUGCAUGGAGCCGGCCUUGAAAUACCACCCUUUAAUGUUUGAUGUUCUAACGUGGACCCGUGAUCCGGGUUGCGGACAGUGUCUGGUGGGUAGUUUGACUGGGGCGGUCUCCUCCUAAAGAGUAACGGAGGAGCACGAAGGUUGGCUAAUCCUGGUCGGACAUCAGGAGGUUAGUGCAAUGGCAUAAGCCAGCUUGACUGCGAGCGUGACGGCGCGAGCAGGUGCGAAAGCAGGUCAUAGUGAUCCGGUGGUUCUGAAUGGAAGGGCCAUCGCUCAACGGAUAAAAGGUACUCCGGGGAUAACAGGCUGAUACCGCCCAAGAGUUCAUAUCGACGGCGGUGUUUGGCACCUCGAUGUCGGCUCAUCACAUCCUGGGGCUGAAGUAGGUCCCAAGGGUAUGGCUGUUCGCCAUUUAAAGUGGUACGCGAGCUGGGUUUAGAACGUCGUGAGACAGUUCGGUCCCUAUCUGCCGUGGGCGCUGGAGAACUGAGGGGGGCUGCUCCUAGUACGAGAGGACCGGAGUGGACGCAUCACUGGUGUUCGGGUUGUCAUGCCAAUGGCACUGCCCGGUAGCUAAAUGCGGAAGAGAUAAGUGCUGAAAGCAUCUAAGCACGAAACUUGCCCCGAGAUGAGUUCUCCCUGAGACUUUAGGUCUCCUGAAGGAACGUUGAAGACGACGACGUUGAUAGGCCGGGUGUGUAAGCGCAGCGAUGCGUUGAGCUAACCGGUACUAAUGAACCGUGAGGCUUAACCUUACA